GAGAAGCAUUGUUAAGGAACUCGGCAAAUUGACCCCGUAACUUAGGGAGAAGGGGUGCCAAGGUAGAACUUGGCCGCAGUGAAGAGGUUCAAGCAACUGUUUAACAAAAACACAGGUUUCUGCUAAAUCGAAAGAUGAAGUAUAGGAGCUGACGCCUGCCCAGUGCUGGAAGGUUAAGGGAAAGAGUUAGGGUUAAACCGAAGCUUAGAACUGAAGCCCCAGUGAACGGCGGCCGUAACUAUAACGGUCCUAAGGUAGCGAAAUUCCUUGUCAGGUAAGUUCUGACCCGCACGAAAGGCGUAAUGAUUUGGGCACUGUCUCGACAAUGUACCCGGCGAAAUUGUAGUACUAGUGAAGAUGCUAGUUACCUGCGACAAGACAGAAAGACCCCAUGGAGCUUUACUGCAGUUUGAUACUGGGUUUCGGCAAGUUAUGUACAGGAUAGGUGGGAGACUAAGAAAGAAAGGCGUCAGCUUUUCCGGAGUCACCCUUGGGAUACCACCCUUAAUUUGUUGGAAUUCUAACUAGUGGUCAUGAUCUGGCCAGAGGACAAUGUCAGACGGGCAGUUUGACUGGGGCGGUCGCCUCCAAAAGAGUAACGGAGGCGCCCAAAGGUUCCCUCAGUGCGGACAGAAAUCGCACGAAAGAGUGUAAAGGCAGAAGGGAGCUUAACUGGAAGAUAGACAUAUCGAGCAGAUACGAAAGUAGGGCUUAGUGAUCCGGUGGAAAUUGAAUGGAAAAGCCAUCGCUCAACGGACAAAAGUUACCCUGGGGAUAACAGGCUUAUCUCCCCCAAGAGUUCACAUCGACGGGGAGGUUUGGCACCUCGAUGUCGGCUCAUCGCAUCCUGGAGCUGAAGUCGGUUCCAAGGGUUGGGCUGUUCGCCCAUUAAAGCGGUACGCGAGCUGGGUUCAGAACGUCGUGAGACAGUUCGGUCCUUAUCUGUCGCAGGCGGAAGAUAUUUGAGAGGAGCUGUCCUUAGUACGAGAGGACCAGGAUGGACAUACCGAUGGUGUAUCAGUUGUCACACCAGUGGCACGGCUGAGUAGCCAAGUAUGGAAGGGAUAAACGCUGAAAGCAUCUAAGUGUGAAGCCCACCUCAAGAUAAGAUAUCUCAUAUCGUAAGAUAGUAAGAUUCCAUAAAGACUAUGUGGUUGAUAGGUUGGAGGUGUAAGUACAGCAAUGUAUUGAGCUGACCAAUACUAAUAAAUCGAGGGCUUAACCAC
This 1226-nucleotide ribosomal RNA is filed under the name human gut metagenome. RNAcentral describes it as "bacterial LSU rRNA". It matches the Rfam family "Bacterial large subunit ribosomal RNA", at positions 1694 to 2925 of the family's 2925-position model. The record is from RNAcentral.